RNAcentral lists this ribosomal RNA (898 nucleotides) under uncultured bacterium. Its description in RNAcentral is "bacterial SSU rRNA". It matches the Rfam family "Bacterial small subunit ribosomal RNA", at positions 54 to 951 of the family's 1533-position model. The record is from RNAcentral.
CAUGCAAGUCGAACGAGAAUCACUGGAAGGAGUUUUCGGACAACGGAAGGUGAGGACAGUGGCGGACGGGUGAGUAACGCGUGAGGAACCUGCCUUUCAGAGGGGGACAACAGUUGGAAACGACUGCUAAUACCGCAUGACACAUAGAGAUCGCAUGGUUUUUAUGUCAAAGAUUUAUCGCUGAAAGAUGGCCUCGCGUCUGAUUAGCUAGUUGGUGAGGUAACGGCCCACCAAGGCGACGAUCAGUAGCCGGACUGAGAGGUUGACCGGCCACAUUGGGACUGAGAUACGGCCCAGACUCCUACGGGAGGCAGCAGUGGGGAAUAUUGGGCAAUGGGCGCAAGCCUGACCCAGCAACGCCGCGUGAAGGAAGAAGGCUUUCGGGUUGUAAACUUCUUUUGUCGGGGACGAGUAGAAGACGGUACCUGGCGAAUAAGCCACGGCUAACUACGUGCCAGCAGCCGCGGUAAUACGUAGGUGGCAAGCGUUGUCCGGAUUUACUGGGUGUAAAGGGCGUGUAGCCGGGAAGGCAAGUCAGAUGUGAAAUCCACGGGCUUAACUCGUGAACUGCAUUUGAAACUACUUUUCUUGAGUAUCGGAGAGGCAAUCGGAAUUCCUAGUGUAGCGGUGAAAUGCGUAGAUAUUAGGAGGAGCACCAGUGGCGAAGGCGGAUUGCUGGACGACAACUGACGGUGAGGCGCGAAAGCGUGGGGAGCAAACAGGAUUAGAUACCCUGGUAGUCCACGCUGUAAACGAUGAAUACUAGGUGUGCGGGGACUGACCCCCUGCGUGCCGCAGUUAACACAAUAAGUAUUCCACCUGGGGAGUACGAUCGCAAGGUUGAAACUCAAAGGAAUUGACGGGGGCCCGCACAAGCGGUGGAUUAUGUGGUUUAAUU